UCAGUUCGGAUUGCAGGCUGCAACUCGCCUGCAUGAAGCUGGAAUUGCUAGUAAUCGCGGAUCAGCAAGCCGCGGUGAAUACGUUCCCGGGCCUUGUACACACCGCCCGUCACACCAUGAGAGUCGGGAACACCCGAAGUCCGUAGUCUAACCGCAAGGGGGGCGCGGCCGAAGGUGGGUCCGGUAAUUGGGGUGAAGUCGUAACAAGGUAGC
This 213-nucleotide ribosomal RNA is filed under the name uncultured bacterium. RNAcentral's name for it is "partial 16S ribosomal RNA". It matches the Rfam family "Bacterial small subunit ribosomal RNA", at positions 1288 to 1500 of the family's 1533-position model. The record is from RNAcentral.